This 222-nucleotide ribosomal RNA is filed under the name uncultured bacterium. RNAcentral's name for it is "partial 16S ribosomal RNA". It matches the Rfam family "Bacterial small subunit ribosomal RNA", at positions 355 to 594 of the family's 1533-position model. The record is from RNAcentral.
UGGGGAAUAUUGCACAAUGGGCGAAAGCCUGAUGCAGCAACGCCGCGUGAGUGAUGAAGGUCUUCGGAUUGUAAAGCUCUGUCUUUUGGGACGAUAAUGACGGUACCAAAGGAGGAAGCCACGGCUAACUACGUGCCAGCAGCCGCGGUAAUACGUAGGUGGCGAGCGUUGUCCGGAUUUACUGGGCGUAAAGGGUGCGUAGGCGGAUGUUUAAGUGAGAUG